This 440-nucleotide ribosomal RNA is filed under the name uncultured bacterium. RNAcentral's name for it is "bacterial SSU rRNA". It matches the Rfam family "Bacterial small subunit ribosomal RNA", at positions 958 to 1400 of the family's 1533-position model. The record is from RNAcentral.
AACGCGAAGAACCUUACCUGCCCUUGACAUCCUUAGAACCCUGCAGAGAUGCGGGGGUACCGAAAGGGACUGAGAGACAGGUGCUGCAUGGCUGUCGUCAGCUCGUGUUGUGAGAUGUUGGGUUAAGUCCCGUAACGAGCGCAACCCUUGCCCUUAGUUGCCAUCAUUAAGUUGGGGACUCUAAGGGGACUGCUGGUGAAGAACCGGAGGAAGGCGGGGACGACGUCAAGUCAUCAUGGCCUUUAUGGGCAGGGCAACACACGUGCUACAAUGGGCAGUACAGAGGGCAGCCAACCUGCAAAGGGGAGCCAAUCCCAGAAAGCUGUUCGUAGUCCGGAUCGGGGUCUGCAACUCGGCCCCGUGAAGUCGGAAUCGCUAGUAAUCGCGAAUCAGAAUGUCGCGGUGAAUACGUUCCCGGGCCUUGUACACACCGGUAUCUC